Mastomys coucha (southern multimammate mouse) is the source of this 752-nucleotide long non-coding RNA. RefSeq lists it as uncharacterized. The record is from RefSeq and is a predicted model, not a curated record. The transcript is spliced from 3 exons. NCBI's taxonomy places the organism in Eukaryota, Metazoa, Chordata, Mammalia, Rodentia, Muridae.
AAGGGGAUUAUGAUGUACUGUGGGGUGGAAAGUUUUGCUAAGCAAUGCCUUUCAGGCUUAGAGAAAGCCUGUUUUGAACGUCUCUAACAGAAAGCAUAGCUGCACGUAGAACGUAAGGGCAGAAACUGGUGUCAAGGAGAAACCAUACCGAUCAAACUUAUUAUCUGACAGUUUCGUACAGGGUGCGUUACUGCUGGUGGUGACAGGACUCCGCUCUCAGGGGAGAUCUAGUGUCCUGAAAUACUCCUGCAAAAGAGGAAAAUGUCACCUCAACUCCACCACAAAGCUUUUAGUCUUUGAACUCUGCAAACACUUCUACCGAAAGAAGAGAGGUGACCCGAGUUAGUCAUCAGACGGGCAGAUCCCAGCACAAACACACCAGUAGCAAGAAAAACCAAGACAAUGGGGCUUCUCCAACAAUCAUCACUCCAGUGGUAACUUUAGACAGUCUGGUUCCCUAAUUGGUUCUUGUGGGACUUCUCCCAGGAGGAAAAAAGAGAGAGCAGGUGGGACUUCCGGCUCCCAGGAGGAAAAAAGAGAGAGAGCGGGGGCUUUUCGGCCAGCCUUUGGAAGGAGAAGCACGGUACAGCCAUGUAAGAUCUUGGGAAAAUUAGAACCAGCGACCUCUGCUACCAUCGGAGGCUGGCUGCCAUAGGCUAGCUGAUACGACUAGGGCAGGGAUCCUGCGCCCGGCAAUUGUGCUAUCUGGCAAGUUCUAAAAGAAUAAAGCUGUCUAAGUGUUUUUUUCAUCC